CACCCCAUGGUAAGCUGGGUUAUGAGGUUCCUUUCCAGGAAAACAUAUGACAUUCAUUCUGUUUCUUUCAGGAGCAGUUAAGCAAAGAAAAGAACUUAAGCCAUGGGGUGAUAAGGAAGAAAGAAGAGAAAAAAAUUCAGGAUGUGUAAUGUGUGGCACGGCCCAUGGGUAGAUGUCAUUGUCCUCGGAGAUGUAGAGCAGGAGGGAGAUGAAAGAAAAACAAGUCACAUCCUCUCCUUAAGGAGCUGUGGGUCUCAUGGAAGAGAAGAGCAAGAAAUGAUGCAAAUUUGUAUAAGAGACUAUCAAUAAUGACUCUGUGACAAAACCCUGAGAAGGGAAUUGGAGUUGCCUGCAGUCCUGGAAUGCCACAGGGCUGUGCUCAGGGCAAAGAACUGAGAUGUGGGAGGAACAGGUAAGAAUAAUUCUUCAUUAUCUCCUUUACGUGCCCCACAGGUGGCUGCCCUGGGUGGGGAGAAGGGGAAAAGCUGCUCCCCAGCCCCAGGGGGAAUGCUGAAGAGGGGCGGUAGGCUGCAGCAGGACCUCUGUCCCAGGGUCUGGCACUUAAUGUGCAUGCCCCCAACCCAGAGAUGCCGAGCAUCAGCAGGACGUGAUGUCCCUUUUCCCCACAUGGAUGUCAUCAAGGGACUGGCCGGAAGGUGACUGGGACCUUCAGGCAGAAACCC
Bos indicus x Bos taurus (hybrid cattle) is the source of this 683-nucleotide long non-coding RNA. NCBI's taxonomy places the organism in Eukaryota, Metazoa, Chordata, Mammalia, Artiodactyla, Bovidae. The record is from Ensembl.